UCGCAGUUCCGACGGCAGCCGCCGUUUCGCGACCCACGGCGGACUUGCAUAAACACUUUCUAGUUGGAAUCUCACCCUGUGAGGUGGGCAAGGUAGUGAUAUUCCUGUUUGACGCCGACAGAAAUAAGAGAGAUUGACUCUCAGAACCAUGUGGCGGGAUUUUAAAGGAGGAUCUUAACAGUGGCUCGGACAGACCCGUGUUUUCUGCUCCUAGCAUUAACUACGUCGUUAAACCCUUCUGAAUUUAUUUCGUCUGUGAAAUGGGGAAAAGAUAGCCACCUUGCAUAACUGGUGAAGAAUUCGUAAACUGACAGCAGAAUCUAGUAAGAGGACUGGCCCGUGGUCGGCUCUUAAUGGUGUCACAGAAUAAAGAAAAAGACUGGGAGAGAGAUGGGAGCUGAUAGACCAGAGGAGACCAAAGACUGAAACUGAAGACUAAACCAUGGAAAUUGGGAACAAGCACUUACUCGCUUAGAGGGUGAAAAAAGUGAAUUUGCCUACAGGGCCAAUUUGGAAGCACCUCUCCCUGGAAGCCAGUCAAUGAAGAGCCAUUGGAGGAUUUUAAAUAAGGAACCGAAAAAUGGAGUCUGAAAAUAGAGGCGCAGAGACCGGUUCUUCCCCAAACCAUCAUGGACCAGUUGGACUCUGAGAAGAAAAGUUUCUGAUCUUUAGUUCAUUCUUCCAACUCUCUAGAAAGCAGGAAAACUGAGAAUGAAAAAUUCUAAAUUACUCAGGACUCAUGGGUUGCCAAUAGAAGAAAUACAUCUUAAACUAGCUUAAGCCUGAAAGGGAAAUGUAUUUGUUCAUGUAACUGAACCAUAACGAAGGAUGGUGGACUGAGGGACCUGAAAACACCCUCAGGACUCCCUCCCUCUCCUUUGUGCUCCUGUCUGAUGCCGUCUUCCCAGACCUGCUCACUCUCCAUAAGGUGGGGAUGUGGCCAUCAGCAACGUGUACUUCCCCGAAGCUUGUGACCUGAGUAGAUAGGCAUCUCCCAACCCACAAGGAUUGAAAAGUUCCUCUAGGAAUUAUGUGGAUUGGCCCAUUCACUAUGACAUGUUCCCCCUAAGCAGCUAAAGGAACUGGGUCUGUUACCAGAAGAGGUGGGAGAGGGGUGCUAGGCAGAUUGAACAACAGCCACUACAACAUCUGAGGAGGAGACCUCCGUGAAGGCCACCAAGUCUGCUAGCAGAUAUUUCCUCCCUCGGAUCUCUCUCCCUGUCCUCACAGUCUCAUAAGUGAGGAUUAAAUACUACAUGUGGCCUAGGAGAUCUUAGACCCUCCACACGAAGAUAUAGUAACAAUCAACAUCCUAGUGUUCUGGCAGAGAAAAAAUCAGAAAGAAUCGUUUGCCUGAUUUUUCCAUCAAUACCAAUAAUUAAUUAGAGAUGAAAUUUGUGAUGGACUCAGAGAAUUAGAGAAGAUCUAAGGGAAUCUAGAUGAUUUCCUACCCCUAACCAGAGCCUCACAAAAAAGGGUGAAGAUCUAUGGCCGUCUUGCGUUUGGUGUGAGGCUGGACAAGGAAGUUCCUAAGGUCCUUUAGACUCUGUGAGAUCAUGAGUCCGUAAAACCCUUCCAACUUGAAAUUAGUUGAUUCCUUCCUUAAAUUUUCUGGGACAUUCCCCCACUCCCUCCACUCUUAUUAGCUGAUUUUACUGACCAAUAGGCCUUGAAGUUGGGCGUUCCAUCUAGAUGUCUCACAUCAACUCACCUUUUGCAAAUUAAGCCCAUACCCUUAAAGAGGGGAAUUCUCAAGCCAUUAGAAACUAGAGAGUCAGCUGGGCAUGGUGGCUCACGCCUGUAAUCCCAGAACUUUGGGAGGCCAAGGUGGGUGGAUCACUUGAGGUCAGGAGUUCGAGUCCAGCCUGACCAACAUGGCGAAACCCCGUCUCUACUAAAAAUACAAAAAUUAGCCAGGGGUGAUGGCAUGCACCUGUAAUCCCAGCUACUCAGGAGGCUGAGGCAGGAGAAUUGCUUGAACCUGGGAGGCGGAGGUUGCAGUGAGCCAAGUUUGCACCACAGCACUCCAGCCUGGGCAACAGAGUGAGACUCAGUUUCAAAAAACAAAAGAACAAACAAACAAAAACUAGAGGGUCUCCUCUUAGUUCUUAAACCCUCUUAGUCAACAUUUGUGAGCCUCUUUUCUGUAUGUUUUGGCAUCUUUAUUCCUUUCCUUCGUGUCUUGACCAAAUUCACCAGAUCAUGACUCAGAACAAAAUCCUGAGGUUGAAUAUAGAGGUCU
RNAcentral lists this long non-coding RNA (2242 nucleotides) under Homo sapiens (human). RNAcentral describes it as "non-protein coding SMIM2-AS1:5". Lineage: Eukaryota; Metazoa; Chordata; Mammalia; Primates; Hominidae. The record is from RNAcentral.